CCUACUAAACAUCCUGGCAUACUGCCACAGUUCUUCAGAGAAUCUCAAGCAGUAACUGCAAGGAAACUGCGACUUGUCUUUGGAGUUGACACCACCAGAUCUUUGGUCAAGUUCUUAGUAAAACCAGUUUUCCCUAGUACACAGGGAAGGCUCCAGACUCUCCAUUACUCUCCACAGAUUCUAGGAAUUCCCAGACUCAUCUAGAGAAGGAAUCAGUCUGAAUAUCCUGCUAAGGCAAGGCUACUCAACUCAAUCACUCUGUGUUAGUACCAGUUUUAAUAAGAUGCAAGUACAAAGUUGUCCCCAAUUUAGUUGUAUAGAAGUAAAAAAAUAGAGCCCCAUACUUUUCCAGGUAUCAGAAGUGGUUUGGUUGACCCUGGGGUAAAAAUCCAGAUUUCUCAAAUCAUAAAGUCUCACAUUCUUGGCCUAGGAGUGAGUAUAGGAUUGUAGGAAAGAUUUGGAAUUAGUCAUUGGUUUCAAUCGUAAAUGACUGUGCACCUUAGACAAGUUAUUUGACUUGUCUGAGCCUUGGUUUCUUCAUCUGGAAACCAACAUCUGGUAGAAAAGGAUAAAAGUAGAAUACAAGUCAGAUAUCUUGAAGACACUAAGGAAACUCUGAAAGACAGAAGACAGUAGGCCAAUAUAUUCAAAGUGCUAAAAAUAAAAAAUAAAAACCCUUGUCAACCAAGAAUCCUAUAUCCAGAAAAGCUGUCCUUCAAAUGUGAGGGGUAAAUUAAGACAUUCCUAGAAAAACUAAAGCUGAGGGAGUUUGUAAGCACUAGAUCUACCCUACCAGAAAUGUUCAAGAAAUGCUUCAAGUUGAAAUAAAAGGACACUGCAUAGUAACUCAAAGCCAUAUGGAGAAAUAAAAGGUCUCAAUAAAGAAAUCUGAACUGAAAACAGAUGGUUAACUGUGGUGCAGACAGGGCCAGCCGUUCUGUCUAUUGUGGCAGCUGAACAAAGUGUGAGCUACAGAAUCACUGCCCUGAUGGUGACUGAAGCAGAUGAGGAGAGACGGGAGCU
This is a long non-coding RNA of Acinonyx jubatus (cheetah), 1023 nucleotides long. RefSeq lists it as uncharacterized. NCBI's taxonomy places the organism in Eukaryota, Metazoa, Chordata, Mammalia, Carnivora, Felidae. The transcript has 4 exons. The record is from RefSeq and is a predicted model, not a curated record.